RNAcentral lists this ribosomal RNA (872 nucleotides) under uncultured Lactococcus sp. RNAcentral's name for it is "bacterial SSU rRNA". It matches the Rfam family "Bacterial small subunit ribosomal RNA", at positions 1 to 862 of the family's 1533-position model. The record is from RNAcentral. Lineage: Bacteria; Bacillati; Bacillota; Bacilli; Lactobacillales; Streptococcaceae.
UAGAGUUUGAUCAUGGCUCAGGACGAACGCUGGCGGCGUGCCUAAUACAUGCAAGUUGAGCGCUGAAGGUUGGUACUUGUACCGACUGGAUGAGCAGCGAACGGGUGAGUAACGCGUGGGGAAUCUGCCUUUGAGCGGGGGACAACAUUUGGAAACGAAUGCUAAUACCGCAUAAAAGCUUUAAACACAAGUUUUAAGUUUGAAAGAUGCAAUUGCACCACUCAAAGAUGAUCCCGCGUUGUAUUAGCUAGUUGGUGAGGUAAAGGCUCACCAAGGCGAUGAUACAUAGCCGACCUGAGAGGGUGAUCGGCCACAUUGGGACUGAGACACGGCCCAAACUCCUACGGGAGGCAGCAGUAGGGAAUCUUCGGCAAUGGACGAAAGUCUGACCGAGCAACGCCGCGUGAGUGAAGAAGGUUUUCGGAUCGUAAAACUCUGUUGGUAGAGAAGAACGUUGGUGAGAGUGGAAAGCUCAUCAAGUGACGGUAACUACCCAGAAAGGGACGGCUAACUACGUGCCAGCAGCCGCGGUAAUACGUAGGUCCCGAGCGUUGUCCGGAUUUAUUGGGCGUAAAGCGAGCGCAGGUGGUUUAUUAAGUCUGGUGUAAAAGGCAGUGGCUCAACCAUUGUAUGCAUUGGAAACUGGUAGACUUGAGUGCAGGAGAGGAGAGUGGAAUUCCAUGUGUAGCGGUGAAAUGCGUAGAUAUAUGGAGGAACACCGGUGGCGAAAGCGGCUCUCUGGCCUGUAACUGACACUGAGGCUCGAAAGCGUGGGGAGCAAACAGGAUUAGAUACCCUGGUAGUCCACGCCGUAAACGAUGAGUGCUAGAUGUAGGGAGCUAUAAGUUCUCUGUAUCGCAGCUAACGCAAUA